GCCCGGGUGGCGGAAUGGUAGACGCGACUGACUCAAAAUCUGUUGGCCGAAAGGUCGUAGGGGUUCGAAUCCCCUUCCGGGUA
RNAcentral lists this transfer RNA (83 nucleotides) under Propionibacteriaceae bacterium. RNAcentral's name for it is "tRNA-Leu". It matches the Rfam family "tRNA". From Rfam's summary of the family: Transfer RNA (tRNA) molecules are approximately 80 nucleotides in length. Their secondary structure includes four short double-helical elements and three loops (D, anti-codon, and T loops). The record is from RNAcentral. Lineage: Bacteria; Bacillati; Actinomycetota; Actinomycetes; Propionibacteriales; Propionibacteriaceae. RNAcentral also lists the same sequence under 1 other name.